AGCGGCAGGCUUAACACAUGCAAGUCGAACGGUAACAUGAAAGCUUGCUUUUGAUGACGAGUGGCGCACGGGUGCGUAACGCGUAUGCAAUCUACCCUUUACUGGAGAAUAGCCCUUGGAAACGAGGAAUAAUACUCCAUAGUAUAACAAUUUCGCAUGUUAUUGUUAUUAAAGCUUCGGCGGUAAAGGAUGAGCAUGCGUCCCAUUAGUUAGUUGGUGAGGUAAUGGCUCACCAAGACUUCGAUGGGUAGGGGGCCUGAGAGGGUUAUCCCCCACACUGGUACUGAGACACGGACCAGACUCCUACGGGAGGCAGCAGUGAGGAAUAUUGGUCAAUGGACGAAAGUCUGAACCAGCCAUGCCGCGUGCAGGAUGACUGCCCUAUGGGUUGUAAACUGCUUUUAUAUAGGAAGAAACCUCCCGACGUGUCGGGAGCUGACGGUACUAUAAGAAUAAGGACCGGCUAACUCCGUGCCAGCAGCCGCGGUAAUACGGAGGGUCCAAGCGUUAUCCGGAUUUAUUGGGUUUAAAGGGUACGUAGGCGGAGUUUUAAGUCAGUAGUGAAAGCCCAUCGCUUAACGAUGGAACUGCUAUUGAUACUGAUACUCUUGAAUAUAGUUGAAGUGGGCGGAAUACGGCAUGUAGCGGUGAAAUGCAUAGAUAUGCCGUGGAACACCCAAUCGCGAAGGCAGCUCACUAAGCUAUUAUUGACGCUUAUGUACGAAAGCGUGGGUAGCGAACAGGAUUAGAUACCCUGGUAGUCCACGCCGUAAACGAUGAUUACUCGGUGCUGGCGAUAUACAGUCA
RNAcentral lists this ribosomal RNA (807 nucleotides) under uncultured Gammaproteobacteria bacterium. RNAcentral's name for it is "bacterial SSU rRNA". It matches the Rfam family "Bacterial small subunit ribosomal RNA", at positions 38 to 839 of the family's 1533-position model. The record is from RNAcentral. Lineage: Bacteria; Pseudomonadati; Pseudomonadota; Gammaproteobacteria.